RNAcentral lists this ribosomal RNA (478 nucleotides) under Parvamussium pourtalesianum. Its description in RNAcentral is "partial 16S ribosomal RNA". It matches the Rfam family "Bacterial large subunit ribosomal RNA", at positions 1844 to 2596 of the family's 2925-position model. The record is from RNAcentral. Lineage: Eukaryota; Metazoa; Mollusca; Bivalvia; Pectinida; Propeamussiidae.
AAUUGAGGUCGGGCCUUCCCGGUGGGUCAUCGUACCUAAACGGAAGCAGUAAUGUGCUUAAUGUAGCGUAUGACUAUUAAUUGUAGUUUGAGUGAAAGGUUUGACGAGUUUUUAGCUGUAUCUAAUUUGUUGUUGUUAAAUUGAACUGUAGGUGAAAAUGCCUACAUGAGUAAGAGGGACGAGAAGACCCCGUGAAGUUUUGAAGGGUGUCUACAGGUAUAUAUAUACCGGGGUAGUUGGUAAUUUUGGCUGGGGCAGCAGAAAGGCAAGACUAGACCUUUUAGGGGGUGUUGACAGGUGUGUUUUGACCCACGUAGGUAGUGUACGUGAUUAGCAGAAGGAGUUACUCCGGGGAUAACAGCGUAAUGUGUCUUGAUAGAUCUUAUAGAUAGACAGGUUUGCGACCUCGAUGUUGGCUCUGGGUAUCCAUAACCUUGUAGCAGGGUUAAAGGGUUGGUUUGUUCGCCCACUAAGACCC